AACGAACGCUGGCGGCAUGCCUAACACAUGCAAGUCGAACGAGACCUUCGGGUCUAGUGGCGCACGGGUGCGUAACGCGUGGGAACCUGCCCUUAGGUUCGGAAUAACUCCCCGAAAGGGGUGCUAAUACCGGAUAAUGUCUUCGGACCAAAGAUUUAUCGCCAUUGGAUGGGCCCGCGUUGGAUUAGCUAGUUGGUAGGGUAAAAGCCUACCAAGGCGACGAUCCAUAGCUGGUCUGAGAGGAUGAUCAGCCACACUGGGACUGAGACACGGCCCAGACUCCUACGGGAGGCAGCAGUGGGGAAUAGUGGACAAUGGGCGAAAGCCUGAUCCAGCAAUGCCGGGUGAGUGAUGAAGGCCUUAGGGUUGUAAAGCUCUUUUACCCGGGAUGAUAAUGACAGUACCGGGAGAAUAAGCUCCGGCUAACUCCGUG
RNAcentral lists this ribosomal RNA (433 nucleotides) under uncultured bacterium. Its description in RNAcentral is "partial 16S ribosomal RNA". It matches the Rfam family "Bacterial small subunit ribosomal RNA", at positions 29 to 507 of the family's 1533-position model. The record is from RNAcentral.